Non-coding RNA from Hydra vulgaris (swiftwater hydra), 549 nucleotides. The record is from RefSeq and is a predicted model, not a curated record. Lineage: Eukaryota; Metazoa; Cnidaria; Hydrozoa; Anthoathecata; Hydridae.
UGUUAGAAGGAGAUGUUAGUAAAAGCUCUUUCCAGUAAUUAAAGUAAUAUCAUGACAAAUAGUUCUAAAAUUCUAUGAAUGAACUUGCAGCAGUAAUUUAGUGAUUAUGAUAACAGUUUAAAUGACUCUUGGGUGAGGUAUGGAGGGAUGGGUUGUUUCAAACCAUAACUUUUUGCAGUUUUUUUAUUGUUUUUUGAUUAAGUAUUUAACAAUAACUUAGCCUAAGUUAAUCUACUUGUAACUUUUUAUAAAAGUAACUAUAAAAAUAAUGUGGUGUAAUUAUUUCCUUAAACCUUUAGGUUAACUAACUUUCUAAAAUUGGAGAUAAAACCAUUAAGAUAAAUACAAAAAAUGUGAUGCAAAGGCUGGACAUCAAUCCCUCUUCUUUUAGCCUUCUACAAAUGGUCCGGUCUGACACAACAAUUACAGCUUUAUGGAUAAGCUUAGUCAAUAAGUUUAGUGGCUUUUUUUCUGUUUUCCAGGCAGAUAAAUCUGAUUAUACUGUCCGCUCUUGGUGGUUUCUUGCGUUUAGAAAGUGGUCUCCUUAGA